GCUAGUGUGGCAGAGCCCGGCAAAUGCAA
Molecule: transfer RNA, 29 nt
Filed under: Charadrius semipalmatus
Lineage: Eukaryota; Metazoa; Chordata; Aves; Charadriiformes; Charadriidae
Description: partial tRNA-Leu
Source: RNAcentral